Molecule: non-coding RNA, 115 nt
Filed under: Clostridium sp.
Lineage: Bacteria; Bacillati; Bacillota; Clostridia; Eubacteriales; Clostridiaceae
Also listed under: 1 other name
Description: Glycine sequence
Rfam family: Glycine riboswitch aptamer
About the family: This family represents the bacterial glycine riboswitch. Glycine riboswitches usually consist of two metabolite-binding aptamers domains with similar structures in tandem. The aptamers cooperatively bind glycine to regulate the expression of downstream genes.
Source: RNAcentral
AUGAUAUUUUCGGGAGAUAAUCUGAUGCUAUUGAAGCAAAGGGUAGCCGAAGAAGCAAGUGAUUGUUUAGCCAAACAAUCAUGAAACUCUCAGGCAAAAGGACCGCAAAUGGACA